Molecule: ribosomal RNA, 274 nt
Filed under: uncultured prokaryote
Description: partial 16S ribosomal RNA
Rfam family: Bacterial small subunit ribosomal RNA
Source: RNAcentral
ACGUAGGAGGCGAGCGUUAUCCGGAUUCAUUGGGCGUAAAGGGCAAGUAGGCGGUAUGCAAAGUUGGUUGUGACAUCUCCCGGCUCAACUGGGAGGGUGCGGCCAAAACUAGCGUACUAGAGGGCAGAAGAGGGAAGUGGAAUUCCUGGUGUAGCGGUGGAAUGCUCAGAUACCAGGAGGAACACCAGUGGCGAAGGUGACUUUCUGGUCUGCACCUGACGCUGAGAGGCGAAAGCUAGGGGAGCGAACGGGAUUAGAUACCCCGGUAGUCCCU